RNAcentral lists this non-coding RNA (124 nucleotides) under Chryseobacterium sp. Its description in RNAcentral is "FMN sequence". It matches the Rfam family "FMN riboswitch aptamer (RFN element)". From Rfam's summary of the family: The RFN element is a highly conserved domain that is found frequently in the 5'-untranslated regions of prokaryotic mRNAs that encode for flavin mononucleotide (FMN) biosynthesis and transport proteins. This element is a metabolite-dependent riboswitch that directly binds FMN in the absence of proteins. Lineage: Bacteria; Pseudomonadati; Bacteroidota; Flavobacteriia; Flavobacteriales; Weeksellaceae. The record is from RNAcentral.
CGUUUUCUUCGGGGCGGGGUGCAAUUCCCCACCGGCGGUUACAGUCCGCGACUCCUUUGCAAAAAGGACUGAUCUGGUGAAAUUCCGGAACCGACAGUAAAAGUCUGGAUGGGAGAAGAAAAUG